RNAcentral lists this long non-coding RNA (873 nucleotides) under Homo sapiens (human). RNAcentral describes it as "KCNQ1 opposite strand/antisense transcript 1". Lineage: Eukaryota; Metazoa; Chordata; Mammalia; Primates; Hominidae. The record is from RNAcentral.
GCGUCGCCUCAGCACGGACCUCCAGGGAGCUCCUCAGCAAGAUCCUGCCAGGGCGCCCCUCAGCGCGAUUCUGCCGGGGUGCCUCUCAGCGUGGUCCUCCCCGGGGCUCCUCAGCACGAUUCUCCCGGUGCGCCCCUCAGCGCGGUCCUCCUCGGUGCGUCAGUCAUCGUGGUUCUCCCCGGCGCGCCCCUCGGCGCGGUUCUCCUCGGGGCUCCUCAGCGCGGCGCUCUUCUGGGGGCUCCUCGGCGCAGUUCUCCCCGGGGACUCCUCGGCGCCGUUCUCCUCGGGGCACCCGGGGCUUUUCGGCGCGGUUCUCCCCGGGGGUUCUUCGGCGCGGUUGUCCCCGGGGGUUCUUCGGCGCGGUUCUCUCCGGGGGCCUCUCGCCGCGGUUCUGUUCUCCCCGGGGGCUCCUCAGCAUGGUUCUCCUCCGCGCGGUCCUCCCUGGGCCUCCUCAGCGCGGCACUCUCCUGGGGGCUCCUCAGCGCGGCACUCUCCCCGGGGGCUCCUCAGCGCGGCACUCUCCCGGCGGCUCCUCAGUGCGGUUCUCCCAGACUCUCCUCAGCGCGGCCCUCCCCAUCUCUCUGGGAGGGUUUGAACACGGUCAGCACGGACCUGGGCGGACGGCGCGGGACGGGUGAUCACUGGCGUUGCUGAGGAUCAGAUAUCAGGGAUGUCCUGCAUCAGUGAUGAGAGUGAAGCUUCACAGUUUUGAUGGCUGUUUAACGGAGAUAUGAUACUUGAAGCAGACCUCCACUGAUGGGUAUGUCGGUGGUUUGCAAUUUUUUGCUAUUUAACAAUUGCAGAAAUCAAUAUCCUGAUGAUGGAUUAUUUUGCAAAUGUGUAAGAUAUGUGUAGAAUAAAUUUCUAGAAUGA